UAGAGCCGUAUACGAGACCCGUACGUACGGUUCAAUGGGAGGGGCGAGAUUUUAUUCUCCCUCUACCCUAU
Molecule: non-coding RNA, 71 nt
Organism: Lachnoclostridium sp. An169
Lineage: Bacteria; Bacillati; Bacillota; Clostridia; Lachnospirales; Lachnospiraceae
Source: Rfam